GGGAGAAACCAUAUCCUGCAAAAAGGGAAACAUGAGAAAAAUGUGCAGGAAGUUUAAAAUAGCUCAAUAUAUUGGGGAACUGCAUUGGUCAUAUGGCAUAGGUUUGUUUGCAGAAGUGAACAUUCAGGAACAAGUCUUCACAGGGAGAAGUCUGAAGUCAGUCAGCCCAGCCAGUGUCCUUGAGGUGCAGGGACCAAGACUAUGUCAGGGUGACUUUCCUGUCACACACAGAAUCAUCUCUACCUUCUGCUCAGAAGGCUUCAAUGGCUCAUCAUCUUCUACGCUGGAGGUCGUGAAGGCAUGGAUUGUAUGGUCUCUGUAGUAGCUACUUAACUUUGCCAUUGUUGGGCAACAACAGCCAUAGACAAUACAUAAAUGAGUCAAGUUCUACUUGUCCUUUAGGACUCAAUUCUCAGAAGACUCCCUCUUCCUGAAGCCUUCUCUGAGCCACCAGUGGCUGGGUUGGAUAUCUCUCC
RNAcentral lists this long non-coding RNA (476 nucleotides) under Equus caballus (horse). Its description in RNAcentral is "lncRNA (ENSECAG00000046639.1)". The record is from RNAcentral. Lineage: Eukaryota; Metazoa; Chordata; Mammalia; Perissodactyla; Equidae.